CCUACGGGGCGCUGCAGUGGGGAAUAUUGGACAAUGGGCGAAAGCCUGAUCCAGCCAUGCCGCGUGUGUGAAGAAGGCCUUCGGGUUGUAAAGCACUUUCAGUGGGGAAGAAAGCCUUGGGGCUAAUACCCUCGAGGAAGGACAUCACCCACAGAAGAAGCACCGGCUAACUCCGUGCCAGCAGCCGCGGUAAUACGGAGGGUGCGAGCGUUAAUCGGAAUUACUGGGCGUAAAGCGCGCGUAGGCGGUCUGAUAAGCCGGUUGUGAAAGCCCCGGGCUCAACCUGGGAACGGCAUCCGGAACUGUCAGGCUAGAGUGCAGGAGAGGAAGGUAGAAUUCCCGGUGUAGCGGUGAAAUGCGUAGAGAUCGGGAGGAAUACCAGUGGCGAAGGUGGCCUUCUGGACUGACACUGACGCUGAGGUGCGAAAGCGUGGGUAGCAAACAGGAUUAGAUACCCGGGUAGUC
RNAcentral lists this ribosomal RNA (465 nucleotides) under Vreelandella stevensii. RNAcentral describes it as "partial 16S ribosomal RNA". It matches the Rfam family "Bacterial small subunit ribosomal RNA", at positions 338 to 795 of the family's 1533-position model. Lineage: Bacteria; Pseudomonadati; Pseudomonadota; Gammaproteobacteria; Oceanospirillales; Halomonadaceae. The record is from RNAcentral.